RNAcentral lists this ribosomal RNA (491 nucleotides) under uncultured bacterium. Its description in RNAcentral is "partial 16S ribosomal RNA". It matches the Rfam family "Bacterial small subunit ribosomal RNA", at positions 28 to 507 of the family's 1533-position model. The record is from RNAcentral.
GAUGAACGCUAGCGAUAGGCUUAACACAUGCAAGUCGAGGGGUAACGUGUUGGAAGCUUGCUUCCGAUGACGACGACCGGCGGAUGGGUGCGUAACGCGUAUGCAACUUGCCUCACAGUGGAGAAUAACCCGGAGAAAUCCGGACUAAUACUCCAUACUCUCUUAAGUACGCCUGUACAUGAGAGGAAAGAUUUAUCGCUGUGAGAUAGGCAUGCGUCCUAUUAGGUAGUUGGUGAGGUAACGGCUCACCAAGCCGACGAUAGGUAGGGGUGCUGAGAGGCAGAUCCCCCACAAUGGGACUGAGACACGGCCCAAACACCUACGGGAGGCAGCAGUGAGGAAUAUUGGUCAAUGGAGGAAACUCUGAACCAGCCAAGUCGCGUGAAGGAAGAAUGUCCUAAGGAUUGUAAACUUCUUUAGCGAGCGAGUAAGGACUUCCACGUGAUGGGAGUUUGAAAGUAGCUCGAGAAUAAGUAUCGGCUAACUCCGUG